This is a non-coding RNA of Salvelinus sp. IW2-2015, 1450 nucleotides long. NCBI's taxonomy places the organism in Eukaryota, Metazoa, Chordata, Actinopteri, Salmoniformes, Salmonidae. The record is from RefSeq and is a predicted model, not a curated record.
CAGGUCCUGGGGUCAAGCAGGAGAGGACUAAAGGAGAGAAGGAGCCACGGCACAGCAGAGACAUCCAGACUAGAGAGCCCCCUGUAGCCACGGAGGACCCCACCUCCGCCCCAGUGCCGUGUAGGACCCGACCCAGCAUCACCGAGGCAAGAGGUGAGGUCUUUUCCAGAGCCCCAUUGAUGGGCAUAGCAGCAUAGAUCAGCUCCUGGCCCCUCAUCAAAGGCACUGGUUGAAGCAUAUCCCUAACAUCCAGACAGAUGUCAAGAACUUGGGAACCUCCCAGCCACCAGGAUAAUCAUCUUGUUCUUGGAGUUUAUUCACAAGGUUCUACAGAGAGAAUAUUCCAAGGACCACCAGAGCCUUCUGACCAAUUAUCUGCGAUCUCGCCAGAGCACAGAGAAGCAAGGUCCGCUGGUGGUAAUAUACUUUAUGCUCUAUGUAAACCCCCUUCACUAUGGCUGUCUGUCUCUGUGUGAUGACAUACUGUAGCAUAUAAUCCAGGGCCACUGGUUGGAUUGGAUUUACUGUACUCCAACUCAUGCCCUCUCCCUCUAAAAGUCUCCCAGACUUUUAUAAAAACGAACYAGGCCAUCCCCCUGUCCCCAGGUGAGUCUGCUGGGCCAUGGAACUCUAGAGCAGCACAGCAAAACACCUGCCACCAUGUUGUCAGCUAUCAGCAGACAGUUCCCUGAGGAAGGAUGCAACCAUCAAAGCUUUAAGAGGGACAAAUUAAAGGGGAUGACCACCAAAUGCAAUKAAGUUUUGUAUAAACUACUCAUGUUAAUUUUUUAAUAGGUUACAAAACCAUAACUGUUUUAGCCUGUACUCAUUUUUACUAACUACUAUGGUAACUUAAACAUCUGACAACAUGCAGACUUUCUCCAUCAAGAUAGCACUUGGCGCUUCUGAUUCAAAGAGGUCUAAAAAUCAAUGCAAGUCUCAUCCAGGGUGAAUAAAUUAUUCUUCAUGUAUAAAAGAUCACACAGGUGUGCCAACUAAAAUAUAUAUCCCAGACAAGCCUGAGGUAUAGGACAAUAGGCUGUGUUUAGACAGGCAGCCCAAGUCAGAUUUUUUUUCUUCACCAAUUGGUCUUUUGACCAAUCAGAUCAGCGCUGAAAAAGAUCUGAUGUGAAAAGAUCUGGGAUUGGUCAAAAGACCAAUUAGUGGAAAAAUAUCAGGAUUGGGCUGCCUGUGAACACAGCCAGAGACAAGUGAAUAUAAGUCUGUUCUUGUGUUCGUAGAAGUUUGUAAGAAUUUGAGUGGUUACAUACAGUACAUGUUAAAUGGCUACGAGACAUAAGGAUACUCUUGCUGUAAUCAAAGAGAAGGUACUGCUGAAGGCCCCAGUAUUCAGUCAGGCAGCUUGAAGCAUAUGUCACCAUCCGGGCCCUUGUCACAGCAUGCAGAGACCUGAUGGGGAGAUGACAAUAAAUACAUUAUGUAACUUUCA